GUGACUGCGGAGGAUCAUUAUCGUACAACCGAGGUGCGGAGGGCUGUCGCUGACNUUUGUCGUGCACGCCCAAAGUGCUCUCAAACAAUAUCCAUCUCACCCAUUUGUGCAUCAUCGCGUGGGUCCUGCUUUUUGGCUUGUCCCAAGGAGGGGGGCUCGCGUUUUCACACAAACACCCUUUUAAUGCAGUGUAGAAUGUUCUUUUGCGAUGACUCGCAAUAAAUACAACUUUCAACAACGGAUCUCUUGGCUCUCGCAUCGAUGAAGAACGCAGCGAAAUGCGAUACGUAAUGUGAAUUGCAGAAUUCAGUGAAUCAUCGAAUCUUUGAACGCACCUUGCGCCCCUUGGCAUUCCGAGGGGCACACCCGUUUGAGUGUCGUGACAUUCUCAAAAAGAACCCUUCUUGGUCNUGCGAUCGGGAAAGGCUUUUUUUUGGACUUUGGAGGUUAUUGCUGGUCCCCCCUUGAUAGCCAGCUCCUCUUAAANGAAUUAGUAGGGACCGCUUUGCUGACCCUAGACGUGAUAAGAUGUUUCUGCGUCUUGGG
Molecule: unclassified non-coding RNA, 546 nt
Filed under: uncultured fungus
Lineage: Eukaryota; Fungi
Description: sequence contains ITS1, 5.8S rRNA gene, ITS2
Rfam family: 5.8S ribosomal RNA (bases 227-380)
Source: RNAcentral